AGUGAACGCUGGCGGUAGGCCUAACCCAUGCAAGUCGGACGGUAGCACAGAGAGCUUGCUCUCGGGUGACGAGUGGCGGACGGGUGAGUAAUGUCUGGGGAUCUGCCCGAUAGAGGGGGAUAACCACUGGAAACGGUGGCUAAUACCGCAUAACGUCGCAAGACCAAAGAGGGGGACCUUCGGGCCUCUCACUAUCGGAUGAACCCAGAUGGGAUUAGCUAGUAGGCGGGGUAACGGCCCACCUAGGCGACGAUCCCUAGCUGGUCUGAGAGGAUGACCAGCCACACUGGAACUGAGACACGGUCCAGACUCCUACGGGAGGCAGCAGUGGGGAAUAUUGCACAAUGGGCGCAAGCCUGAUGCAGCCAUGCCGCGUGUAUGAAGAAGGCCUUCGGGUUGUAAAGUACUUUCAGCGGGGAGGAAGGCGAUGUGGUUAAUAACCGUAUCGAUUGACGUUACCCGCAGAAGAAGCACCGGCUAACUCCGUGCCAGCAGCCGCGGUAA
Molecule: ribosomal RNA, 504 nt
Filed under: uncultured bacterium
Lineage: Bacteria
Description: partial 16S ribosomal RNA
Rfam family: Bacterial small subunit ribosomal RNA
Source: RNAcentral